GUGACGUGAGCUAGUGAGCAUUUUAUUCAGUAAAGGACGAGGUAAAGGAUUAGGAUAUGAUGCCUAGUCUGAGGAUUUACUACAAGUCUGUACUUGGACUGAGAUGCUUACAAUCGAGACCUUUCUCCUCCUCUUCUUCGGUAAAGGAAGAUAAUAGGCAGUUGCUCAAUGCUGGGGCGCGAUACCUCUCUGAGGAGAACAUUGAAAGGACUAGGAAGAACGUGGAGCUUCGUAAACUUGACAUUGAUUUUGAUCACUUGGUAGGCGAGUACCACAAGUACCUUCAACUGCAGGAAAGGAUCAGUGACUUGGAGCAUGAAAA
Molecule: long non-coding RNA, 322 nt
Organism: Amphimedon queenslandica
Lineage: Eukaryota; Metazoa; Porifera; Demospongiae; Haplosclerida; Niphatidae
Exons: 2
Source: RefSeq, a predicted model, not a curated record